This is a long non-coding RNA of Siniperca chuatsi (mandarin fish), 2238 nucleotides long. RefSeq lists it as uncharacterized. The transcript has 3 exons. The record is from RefSeq and is a predicted model, not a curated record. Lineage: Eukaryota; Metazoa; Chordata; Actinopteri; Centrarchiformes; Sinipercidae.
GAAGUCCCAGACUGUUUUGUGUUUGCUGAAACACUCUUUGGAUCCCGAUUGUUAUACUCCACAUAACAAUCUUUGCCUACAGAAGGAAGAUACGGAUUUACUGUUUUUCUUCACGAAGAGAAGGAUAACUGCUGAGCCCCGCUCUCUCCCCACUAAAAGUCAGCUCCUGCUUUCCUCUGCUGCCGCUGUUGAAAGCCUUUAACAAACGGUGCCCGGCUAUGUCAGCAUCUGUGCCUGAGAGAACUCUGCCGGAUAAUCCAUGGACUGACGCAUUAAAUCGCUAUCAAGAGUGAUCUCAAGACAUCCAUGCAUCAAGGUUUUGCUGUCAUUGGUGUUGAUGAAACAGUCCGUGACAUCCCAGAUGCCACAGAGCCACCAGCAGUUGAGAUUCCAGACAUUGUACCAGAUCUCAGGGUGGAAUGUCAGGAAAUGUGCCUCUAUCUUGUAUGAAGAGAGUCUGCGUCUGCUGACACCAUGACCCAACUCCUCACAGAGCUGAAGGUGUGCACGGAUGCCUGUGCAGAGACCACUCAUGUACUGGAAAAUGAAGCCUAGUUUUCCACUUUGAAACAGUGUGUCACCACAAGAUUCAACACUUCCCAGUUCCCACUUCCAACACUUCCAGGGUCCAUUCCACGUGAAGCGGCUCUGAAGGAGGCAUCUGGGUCCUACACAAAUAGAUGACGCGUUUCUUAGGAGCGUACCACAAUGGCAAUUCUUGAAACGUAGUCACAGGCACUUCACUGAUGAACCCUGUAAUUGCAGCUCUGUUUCUAUUUCCAACCAUUUCCACAGCGGACUUUCCUGCCUUAAAUGGAAGAGUAUGAUGAGAGAAGGGGUUAUCAAGUUCAUGACCUGUCAGCUUAAUUUGUCACAGUGGUUGUGUGAAAAGGGUGUCCAUUAAUUAUCUUGUGUUGUAUGCUUCCUUGUCACCUGGCUCUGGAUAGGGCCCUCACCUCACCAUUCAUCCAGGCUUUUUGGUUGAGGAAUGAUUUAAUUGUCUUUGUGAUCACCACGUCAUCAACACAUUCGCUGAUGUAUGAUGUCACUGUUGAUGUAGUCCUCAAGGUUGGUGUGGUUCUCCUGGAUGGCGGCAUCUCUGAACAUGUGCCAGUCUGUGCACUCAAAACAGUCUGUAGAGCUGCUGUAGUUUCUUCUGUCCACACUUUAACUGUUUUUUUGAUGGUUUAAACCUUUAAUUAGCUAGGAGUAAGUGGGCAGGAGGAGCAGGGAAAUAUGGUCUGAUUAACCAAAAUUGGGGCGGGGAGGGCUUUGCAGCUUUGGUGUAAAUCAUGAGCCAGAAAUAGGCUGGGUAGCCUGCACUUAAUCCAAUCCCUACGCUUCCUUUUCCGACGUUGAUGAGUAUAUUUCUGUCAUAGUUAAUGCGCUACCAUAGGUAAUGCGUGUUUCAAUAAUAAAGGCGAUAAAAUAACAAAACAAAAAUAUGGGGAAGCUACUGGCCGCCCAACCCAGUCUCACGACAAUUUGUGAAAUAGUCACAAAAUCUAUAGAUUUGUGUCCAUUUUUUUCGUGACACUCAGCACGACUUUUAAAGUAAUAAGGACAAAUGUAGUAUAAAGAGUGAAAAGUCCGUGCAGGGAGGAGAUUGGGGUGGAUAGAUGAUUCAGAUACAAGACUUUCAUAUAGGAGACUGGGGUUUGAUUCCCGUGUGAAACCAAUAGUCAAUUGUUUUAAGAAAGUAGUCUAUUUAUUCUAAUCCAAACCAAGUAGUUUUGGUGCCUAAACCUAACCAAAUUAGUCAAUGUCGAUUGUUUUAAGGAAGUAUUCAUUCUAACCCAAACCAUGGUCUUUUUCUAAACCUAACCAAGUAGUUUUGGUGCUUAAACCUAACCUAAAUGUGACCGCCACCUGAAAUGUUUCUCAGCAAGCUUUAUUGUAAAAGUCUAAACGUUGCAUAUUUAUUAUUUUUAACUUGACUGAAAAAAAAAUGUGGUGCAGGCAUGAAAGAUAUUUCCAAUUGAAAUACAUUCAUUUGAAAGUCGUGCUGAGUGUCAUGAAAAAAAUCAAAAAAAUCCAUGUGCACAAAUCCUAUAGAUUCAAUUUUGUGACUAUUUCACAAACUGCCGUGAGAUUGUGUUGGGCCGCCGCAUCUGCAUGCGCCGCUGUCACCAUCUGAACAAACUUCUGAACAACAAUACAGAAUAUUUUAAAUCUAAUGUAUUGGUAGCAUAAGAAGAUUUUUGCCCAUACACAGAAAUAAAAACUGUGGAAAUCUGA